UUCAGUUUUCAGUUUUAUCAUGCUGUAAGUUAAAUAACCAAAAUUAUUUGUUCUGAGUUCAUUAAACUUAAACACUAAAACUAAAUUUAGUGUAUUGCUGAGAAAUGUCUAUAUGAUUUUUAAAUGCCUUUUUCUUGAUGACAAUAAUAAUUCACUUGAUAUAAAUAUAGGAAAUAAUUUAUUUAGUUUAUCACUGAAAGUAUAAAAAUUAGCGUGGCAAUGUGAAAUAAAUUGCAGAUCACUAUCCUAGGCUAUUUAAAACCAGUGUUUUAUUGGACACAUAUCGUCCUCACAACGUGACUCUGGACAAGAAAUAACACUUGACAGAACAACAGGCAGAAAAUGGGAAAAUUCAAUAAAUAUUCCUCUGUCAGCUUUCAGUUUCUUUGGUGAUAAGGUGUCUUAUGAUACUGGUAUUAUCACUGCUUCUGCUGCAAGGAGGGAUGACUACAGCUGAAAAGAAAUCUGUCUACAGCCCACUUGUUCCUUGAUGCUGCUAUCAAAACGACUGAGAUUACGCAUUCCAACGGCUUCUGUGAAGGAGACACAGGGUUUGUUGGAGAUCAGGUUCCGACCAAAAAGCCUUGUCCACAUGGAGUAUUUUUGUACCAGACAUUCAUCAAUUGACUACCUCCCGACGAUCUUUAUAAAUCCAUGAGCAGAUACAGAAGAAAAACAUCUUGCAUCACACUGACUCCUUCAAAACAGACCAUCCUAUCGGGCAAGAAAGUACUUUUGUAUGAUUUAGAUAAAUUUGCACACAUUUGAGUCAGUAAAUAAAACUGGACACUUCACUUGAACUCUGUGUUGAAAACUUGUAAAGUUACCUGCAUCACCACCACUGCAAAACAACCCUUCACUUUGGACAUGAAAGCUGUGGUAUGUGAUGUAUAUAAAUUAGAAACUAACUGAUAGAACUGGACACACUAUAUGAAUUUGCUCAGACACUAAAAGAAUUUAGAAACAGCGUUAUUGCUACCAGGACCAUAAUUUUUCAUCGGUCGUCAAUGAUGAGUUUGUUUGACCAUUUAACUCGUCCAUUACCAUUCCCUCCUCUCUGGAAUCACACUCUACGUAACGUCUACACUAUGUCCAAUCAAAGUACAUCCAACUGUCAAAUCUCCCCCCCCCUUUCUGAAACAUACUUGUCCUGUGUUUGGGGAGCUUAAAUAUUGCCACUGAUGGUGUCACAGUGGUAGUACACUCCUUCCAGAUGAUCAACACGAGAUCACUAUUUGUAGUGAAAUACGACGCAACAUAACUCCACUACAUCCUGAAGAUGAACAUCAUGGUACCAGUGAAACCAGCCAUCAAUCUGAUGACAGUCAAGGCAAAGGAGAAAGCCACCUGCUCUUUGUUGCCAUUCUUCAAUCCAAUUUCCACCACAACAUAUCCGCUGUUUUGGAUUCCAGAAGGGAGGAGAUAACCUCGUCAGCAGAGCCAUCAUCCAACAUGUUGGGAGUGUAUGAUUCUCAAAUGAUGAUAUGGUCAUUACCAAUGUCCAGGUGCAUUAUAAAAGAAGACAAAGCUUGUAUCUUGACGAUUCAAAGUGGGGACAGUAAUCUGUGCAGCCUGUGUGUAAUUAACAUUAUACUCAUAUGUCACGAACAACAUUACGCCUAGAACUGUGUUCGAUAAUAGUUCACGAUGAAUAGAUGCUCAAAAGCUGUGAGAUUAAGUUCCCAAGUGUGCCCAUUAUUCUUUUUUUUUUCUUCUCCUUCCUUGAAUUGCAUAAUUCCAACUCAUUCGAUACAAUG
RNAcentral lists this long non-coding RNA (1757 nucleotides) under Homalodisca vitripennis (glassy-winged sharpshooter). RNAcentral's name for it is "uncharacterized LOC124358026". Lineage: Eukaryota; Metazoa; Arthropoda; Insecta; Hemiptera; Cicadellidae. The record is from RNAcentral.